CCUACGGGAGGCUGCAGUGAGGAAUAUUGGUCAAUGGUCGGGAGACUGAACCAGCCAAGCCGCGUGAGGGAGGAAGGUACAGAGUAUCGUAAACCUCUUUUGUCAGGGAACAAAGGCGGGGCCGUGUCCCCGGCUGAGUGUACCUGAAGAAAAAGCAUCGGCUAACUCCGUGCCAGCAGCCGCGGUCAUACGGAGGAUGCGAGCGUUAUCCGGGUUUAUUGGGUUUAAGGGGUGCGCAGGCGGUCUGGUAAGUCAGCGGUCAAAGCCCGGGGCUCAACCCCGGCCCGCCGUUGAAACUGGCAGUCUCGAGUUGGAGAGAAGUAUGCGGAAUGCGCGGUGUAGCGGUGAAAUGCAUAGAUAUCGCGCAGAACUCCGAUUGCGAAGGCAGCAUGCCGGCUCCACACUGACGCUGAGGCACGAAAGCGUGGGUAUCGAACAGGAUUAGAUACCCGAGUAGUC
RNAcentral lists this ribosomal RNA (459 nucleotides) under uncultured bacterium. RNAcentral describes it as "partial 16S ribosomal RNA". It matches the Rfam family "Bacterial small subunit ribosomal RNA", at positions 338 to 795 of the family's 1533-position model. The record is from RNAcentral.